CUACCUACCUGGCAGGGGAGAUACCAUGAUCAUGAAGGUGCUUUUCCCAGGGCGAGCCUUAUCCAUUGCACUCCAGAUGUGCAGGCCCCCGAGACUUCCCCAGUGAGAAACUUGACUGCGUAAUUUGUGGUAGUGGGGGACUGCAUUCGUGUUCUCCCCCG
Small nuclear RNA from Cebus imitator (Panamanian white-faced capuchin), 161 nucleotides. Its record names the gene U1. It matches the Rfam family "U1 spliceosomal RNA". Rfam says of the family: U1 is a small nuclear RNA (snRNA) component of the spliceosome (involved in pre-mRNA splicing). The record is from Ensembl. NCBI's taxonomy places the organism in Eukaryota, Metazoa, Chordata, Mammalia, Primates, Cebidae.